GACGAACGCUGGCGGCGUGCUUAACACAUGCAAGUCGAACGGAAAGGCCCUGCUUUUGUGGGGUGCUCGAGUGGCGAACGGGUGAGUAACACGUGAGUAACCUGCCCUUGACUUUGGGAUAACUUCAGGAAACUGGGGCUAAUACCGGAUAGGAGCUCCUGCUGCAUGGUGGGGGUUGGAAAGUUUCGGCGGUUGGGGAUGGACUCGCGGCUUAUCAGCUUGUUGGUGGGGUAGUGGCUUACCAAGGCUUUGACGGGUAGCCGGCCUGAGAGGGUGACCGGCCAAAUGGGGCUGAGGGAACGGCCCGGAUCCCACCGGGGGGCAGCAGGGGGGAAUUUUGAACAAGGGGCGGAGGCCUGAUGCAGCAACGCCGGGUGGGGGAGGCCGGCCUUGGGGUUGAAAACCGCUUUCCCCUGGGACGAAGCGUGGGUGCCGGAAAUGGGGAAAGAAGCACCGGCUAACUACGG
RNAcentral lists this ribosomal RNA (467 nucleotides) under uncultured bacterium. Its description in RNAcentral is "partial 16S ribosomal RNA". It matches the Rfam family "Bacterial small subunit ribosomal RNA", at positions 28 to 506 of the family's 1533-position model. The record is from RNAcentral.